RNAcentral lists this ribosomal RNA (468 nucleotides) under uncultured bacterium. Its description in RNAcentral is "partial 16S ribosomal RNA". It matches the Rfam family "Bacterial small subunit ribosomal RNA", at positions 28 to 507 of the family's 1533-position model. The record is from RNAcentral.
GACGAACGCUGGCGGCGUGCUUAACACAUGCAAGUCGAACGGAAAGGCCCUGCUUUUGUGGGGUGCUCGAGUGGCGAACGGGUGAGUAACACGUGAGUAACCUGCCCUUGACUUUGGGAUAACUUCAGGAAACUGGGGCUAAUACCGGAUAGGAGCUCCUGCUGCAUGGUGGGGGUUGGAAAGUUUCGGCGGUUGGGGAUGGACUCGCGGCUUAUCAGCUUGUUGGUGGGGUAGUGGCUGACCAAGGCUUUGACGGGUAGCCGGCCUGAGAGGGUGACCGGCCACCUUGGGCCUGCGAUACGGCCCAGACUCCUACGGUAGGCAGCAGUGGGGAAUCUUGCACAAUGGGCGGAAGCCUGAUGCAGCAGCGCCGCGUUCGUGAUGACGGCCUUCGGGUUGUGAACCGCUUUCGCCUGUGACGAAGCGUGAGUGACGGUAAUGGGUAAAUAAGCACCGGCUAACUACGUG